Molecule: long non-coding RNA, 315 nt
Organism: Salvia hispanica
Lineage: Eukaryota; Viridiplantae; Streptophyta; Magnoliopsida; Lamiales; Lamiaceae
Source: RefSeq, a predicted model, not a curated record
GAGAAACCAUCACCCUGCCGCUUAUCGCCGCCUCCAUUAGGACGACCCAGAUGGAGUAAUUCUCUCCAUUCAAUUUGUUUCCUCCGAUAUGGAGAGGUUGUGUAUCGAUCUUGUAUGCUACAGAUUUUUCUGAUUUUGGCUAGGGUUGGGAAAGGUUUAAGGACAGUGAUGAAGUUUUUCUGCUCUGGUACCAUGUUAAAUGGUUCACAGAACAUAUUGUAAAAAAGAGAGAGAGAUAAGAUACGGUUUGUAUGGAAUUGGAUGAUUUUAUUAUUGAGUAUUGCUCCCUUUAAAUAGAGAAUAUAGUAUGAUGUA